This 334-nucleotide unclassified non-coding RNA is filed under the name soil metagenome. RNAcentral describes it as "partial contains 5.8S ribosomal RNA, internal transcribed spacer 2, and large subunit ribosomal RNA". The stretch from base 1 to 120 matches the Rfam family "5.8S ribosomal RNA", at positions 35 to 154 of the family's 154-position model. The record is from RNAcentral.
GAUGAAGAACGCAGCGAAAUGCGAUAAGUAAUGUGAAUUGCAGAAUUCAGUGAAUCAUCGAAUCUUUGAACGCACAUUGCGCCCGCCAGUAUUCUGGCGGGCAUGCCUGUUCGAGCGUCAUUUCAACCAUCAAGCCCCCGGCUUGUGUUGGGGACCUGCGGCUGCCGCAGGCCCUGAAAAGCAGUGGCGGGCUCGCUGUCACACCGAGCGUAGUAGCAUACAUCUCGCUCUGGGCGUGCUGCGGGUUCCGGCCGUUAAACCACCUUCAUAACCCAAGGUUGACCUAGGAUCAGGUAGGAAGACCCGCUGAACUUAAGCAUAUCAAUAAGCGGAG